GGCGCCCGGUGGACCUGAGCGCGAGGCUGCUGCUGCUGCUGCUGCUGCUGCUGCUGCUGCUGCUGCUGCUGCUGCUCCGGUCACUGUCCCUCCAAAAGCAUAUUGUAAGGCUGGAAAGAGGACAGUAAAGAGCAAUGAAAAAUACAAGAACUACAGAAACGUUCAUAUGAAGAACUAUUAAAACCUUCCAGGUGUUUUAGCUGAAAAAACCAAGUAAGUGAAGAAGAAAUUUCAGCUCCCACCAGGACUGCGAUAGAAAACUGAAGACAUCUCUUUAUGAAAAACAACCAACCAACAAGACAGACAAACCAUGUGCACAGGAGAACAGGUUUCCACCAAAGUUUCCACUUAAAUCACCAGAAACCA
This is a long non-coding RNA of Varanus komodoensis (Komodo dragon), 366 nucleotides long. RefSeq lists it as uncharacterized. The record is from RefSeq and is a predicted model, not a curated record. NCBI's taxonomy places the organism in Eukaryota, Metazoa, Chordata, Lepidosauria, Squamata, Varanidae. The transcript is spliced from 4 exons.